Molecule: ribosomal RNA, 271 nt
Filed under: Pseudomonas sp.
Lineage: Bacteria; Pseudomonadati; Pseudomonadota; Gammaproteobacteria; Pseudomonadales; Pseudomonadaceae
Description: partial 16S ribosomal RNA
Rfam family: Bacterial small subunit ribosomal RNA
Source: RNAcentral
CGCGGUAAUACAGAGGGUGCAAGCGUUAAUCGGAAUUACUGGGCGUAAAGCGCGCGUAGGUGGUUUGUUAAGUUGGAUGUGAAAUCCCCGGGCUCAACCUGGGAACUGCAUUCAAAACUGACUGACUAGAGUAUGGUAGAGGGUGGUGGAAUUUCCUGUGUAGCGGUGAAAUGCGUAGAUAUAGGAAGGAACACCAGUGGCGAAGGCGACCACCUGGACUGAUACUGACACUGAGGUGCGAAAGCGUGGGGAGCAAACAGGAUUAGAUACC